This 547-nucleotide ribosomal RNA is filed under the name uncultured Glomeromycotina. RNAcentral's name for it is "SSU rRNA". It matches the Rfam family "Eukaryotic small subunit ribosomal RNA", at positions 548 to 1098 of the family's 1831-position model. The record is from RNAcentral. Lineage: Eukaryota; Fungi; Glomeromycota.
UUGGAGGGCAAGUCUGGUGCCAGCAGCCGCGGUAAUUCCAGCUCCAAUAGCGUAUAUUAAAGUUGUUGCAGUUAAAAAGCUCGUAGUUGAAUUUCGGGGUUCUACCGUCGGUCGGGCUACCAAGUCUGUACUGGUGUGUAGAAUUUCUACCUUCUGGGGAACCAUCAUGUUAUUAAUUUAGCGUGGUGGGAAACCAGGACCUUUACCUUGAAAAAAUUAGAGUGUUCAAAGCAGGCUUAUGUCUGAAUACAUUAGCAUGGAAUAAUAGAAUAGGACGGUGGUCCUGUUUUGUUGGUUUCUGAAUCACCGUAAUGAUUAAUAGGGAUAGUUGGGGGCAUUAGUAUUCAAUUGUCAGAGGUGAAAUUCUUGGAUUUAUUGAAGACUAACUUCUGCGAAAGCAUUUGCCAAGGAUGUUUUCAUUAAUCAAGAACGAAAGUUAGGGGAUCGAAGACGAUCAGAUACCGUCGUAGUCUUAACCAUAAACUAUGCCGACUAGGGAUCGGACGAUGCUAAAUUUUAUUGACUCGUUCGGCGCCUUACGGGAAAC